AACGUAGGAGACAAACGUUAUCCGGAGUUACUGGGCGUAAAGGGCGUGUAGGCGGUCUGUUAAGUCUGGCGUGAAAGCUCUCGGCUAAACCGGGAGAGGUCGUUGGAUACUGGCAGACUAGAGGACGGUAGAGGCGUGUGGAAUUCCGGGUGUAGUGGUGAAAUGCGUAGAGAUCCGGAGGAACACCAGUGGCGAAGGCGACACGCUGGGCCGUACCUGACACUGAUGCGCGACAGCAUGGGGAGCAAACAGG
RNAcentral lists this ribosomal RNA (253 nucleotides) under uncultured bacterium. RNAcentral's name for it is "partial 16S ribosomal RNA". It matches the Rfam family "Bacterial small subunit ribosomal RNA", at positions 524 to 776 of the family's 1533-position model. The record is from RNAcentral.